GCUGCCGCUGCCGCCCAGGCUGGAAGCCCAGACACGGAAUCCCGAAUAACCAAAAGGACACUGUCUGUGAAGAUAUGACUUUCUCCACCUGGACCCCGCCCCCUGGAGUCCACAGCCAGACACUUUCCCGAUUCUUCGACAAAGUCCAGGACCUGGGCAGAGACUCCAAGACAAGCUCAGCCGAGGUCACCAUCCAGGUAAGGGCAGGACGCUGGGGGACCCCAGGACAGUGUAGAAUCAGCUAGCGGAGGCUUCCGUGUGGCCAGAGAGAGUGCCCAACCCAAGCAGGGGCCUCUAGUCAGAGACACACAUGCGCAUAACAUACACACACCACAUACAGUAUGUGCACAAACAUACACACCUGGACACAUGAAGACACACGCAUGCACAUAC
Molecule: small RNA, 393 nt
Filed under: Pan troglodytes (chimpanzee)
Lineage: Eukaryota; Metazoa; Chordata; Mammalia; Primates; Hominidae
Description: retained intron
Source: RNAcentral